RNAcentral lists this transfer RNA (70 nucleotides) under Arctopsyche sp. XG-2022. RNAcentral describes it as "tRNA-Ala". Lineage: Eukaryota; Metazoa; Arthropoda; Insecta; Trichoptera; Hydropsychidae. The record is from RNAcentral.
AGGAUAAUAAUUUCAAUUAAAAUAAUUAAUUUGCAUUUAAUAAAUAUUGACUUUAUAUCAAUUUAUCUUU